RNAcentral lists this long non-coding RNA (202 nucleotides) under Mytilus galloprovincialis (Mediterranean mussel). Lineage: Eukaryota; Metazoa; Mollusca; Bivalvia; Mytilida; Mytilidae. The record is from RNAcentral.
GUCUGUAUUUGCUUUUGUUUUAAGAAUGAUCGAUUUUACUGAUCUUUACUUUUAUUAAAGUUUCUGAAUAGUCCCAGGAAGUUAUGAAAAAAAUUUAUCAUUUAGAAUGUGAAGUUAAUUCAUAUGCACUACUAUUUGUUUUCAAAUAUCAAAAUAUAGGGCUCGAGCAUAUUUUCAACAAUUAUAUGCCUGGAACUUUUAA